UUACCUCAAUGUCGAACGAUUUCGAUCCU
This 29-nucleotide small RNA is filed under the name Bombyx mori (domestic silkworm). RNAcentral describes it as "ovarian small RNA-36489". Lineage: Eukaryota; Metazoa; Arthropoda; Insecta; Lepidoptera; Bombycidae. The record is from RNAcentral.